CCGCACGGGUGAGUAACACGUAUCCAACCUGCCGUCUACUCUUGGACAGCCUUCUGAAAGGAAGAUUAAUACAAGAUGGCAUCAUGAGUCCGCAUGUUCACAUGAUUAAAGGUAUUCCGGUAGACGAUGGGGAUGCGUUCCAUUAGAUAGUAGGCGGGGUAACGGCCCACCUAGUCUUCGAUGGAUAGGGGUUCUGAGAGGAAGGUCCCCCACAUUGGAACUGAGACACGGCCAA
This 235-nucleotide ribosomal RNA is filed under the name uncultured bacterium. RNAcentral's name for it is "partial 16S ribosomal RNA". It matches the Rfam family "Bacterial small subunit ribosomal RNA", at positions 98 to 334 of the family's 1533-position model. The record is from RNAcentral.